Molecule: ribosomal RNA, 95 nt
Filed under: uncultured bacterium
Lineage: Bacteria
Description: partial 16S ribosomal RNA
Source: RNAcentral
CACCGCCCGUCACACCAUGGGAGUCGAUUGCUCCAGAAGUGGCUGCGCCAACCCGCAAGGGAGGCAGGCCCCAAGGAGUGAUCGGUAACUGGGUG